CACAAGAUCCAGGGGGGGUGGUUGGAUCUAGAUCCAACCACUCCCACCUUACAUGUACCUAAACCUACCCCUGACCCCUAAACCUACCAUUCUCUACCUCCUAGAUGUGGAUCCAACCACGCCCCCAGGAUCUUUUGGUCUGCAGCGAGCCCAACUUGACAGUAGUUGAAGCAGGCUAUAUUCAUAGCAAUAUAAAAAUGUCUUAAACAAAACUCGGGAUACAUGAAUCACGGGACAGAACCACCAAAUAGAAUGCAACAAUAACGGACAACUGAACCAAACACGGCUUAAAUACACAGAGACCUGAUCAGGGUGAACAGAAAAAGGUGUGAACUAAUCUGAAAGCAUAGAAAUUAACCAGUGGUGGGAAAAAAUGGGCAUGAAAGAAACGUCUUUGUCAAACUCAGGAACAAGGAAAACUAGAACAAAAAAAACUGACUGAGGGAUCCACCACAGAGAAGGUGAUGGAAGGAGGAGACAGGGCAGAAGCAGAGGCAGGAGGAGUAAGGGCGGAAAUGAACACAGGAGAAACCAGGGUGGAAGCAGAGUCAGGUGGAGCUAGAGCGGAGAUGGAGGGAGAAGUCAGUGUGGAACUCCUGUCAUAAGAUUCAGUAUACAGACCCACAGCAGAGUCGAGGGAGGGUGGACCCCUACCAGGCAACACCAGGGAGACAACAGACGGAGAGGGAGCCAAAGGGGGUGGAGACCCAGGCGAAGCUGAGGAGACAGAAACCUGGGUCUGGAGGGCCAAGGGGGAGCAACAGUUUCAUGGGACCUAGGCCGAGACAGUGGUCGGCAGGCAUGGGCAUAGCCGGUGUAACCAAGGAUCAAGGAGGAGAUGGAGGAAAGAAGGAACCCGACAGAGCCAGAGUGAUGGAGGGACAAGGUGCAGCCAAAGGUGUGGAAAGACCAUGGUGGAGGCAGGCUGACAACUGCCUAAGGUGGAGCUGAAGGGACAAUGGAGCCCGGUGGAAUCCGAAGACUGACAGAAUCUCCAGGGACACAGGAGAUUCAGAGUAGGGCAGAAACACAAACUCAAAGUGUGGUGCCAGGUGAAACAUGGGUAAUGAAACUUGUAGAAAACACUCACUCUCUCAGUCCGUUAGCACUCCAUCUUCUGCCGCUGCUGAGGGGGUAGGGCUCCAUAACAUCCCCCUGUACUCCACCAGUAAUCCCACUGGCACAGGCACUUUUGCCAGCUCACGCACCUGAUCAGACUUCUUUGAUUUGGUCAGACUUCAUGUUCUGGCUUCAGCUCAGGCUCUCCUAUUGUGGCAGGCUUGGGCUCAUUGUCUGCGGUGGUCUCAGGCAUCACUGGUGGUGGUAGUGGCCGAAGCGCCAACUUCCUCCCCACUCUUAUAGAUGGUGAAGGGGGCACCGUUGUGGAGGAGUAUCCACUCCACUUACUCCAAGAAAGUCCCUAGAGGCUCAUUUCCGGGCACACGCAUUACCUGGUUACCCUUUGAGAGAAGAAGGAUUUUCUUUGCUGGUAGAUCCAUUAUAAUUUGGUCCGUUAUUCUGUCACAGGUGGUGGCAAAAGAAGUAGUUGAAGCAGGAUCUAUUUACAACAAUAUUAAAAUGUAUUAAACAAAACUCAGGAUGCAUGAAACACAGGACAGAACCAAGUAAAACACAAC
Cyprinus carpio carpio is the source of this 1637-nucleotide long non-coding RNA. The record is from Ensembl. Lineage: Eukaryota; Metazoa; Chordata; Actinopteri; Cypriniformes; Cyprinidae.